Non-coding RNA from Poecilia reticulata (guppy), 961 nucleotides. NCBI's taxonomy places the organism in Eukaryota, Metazoa, Chordata, Actinopteri, Cyprinodontiformes, Poeciliidae. The record is from RefSeq and is a predicted model, not a curated record.
GAGAACUGUGGCAAAUGAUAAAGGUUUGGACCCCAUUUCUAAACACAAGGGUUAAGUAGUGCAAUUCACCAUCUCCACCAGUAGGAGGCAGCAGUGCACGAACAGGCGUGCAAGUGUGUUGAUGAAGAAGAAAUCUUCCAUAUUGUGGGACAAACCUAACACCAGUUAUAACGACCAGACCUCCUGUUUAAAAAGAAGCCGAAGUUUGAUACCUGAUACAUAUGAGGUAUGUGUCUUAUUAACUUUACAUUUUCUUUGAGAAAAUAACAUUGACUAUGUUCUCUUUCUCUGUAAUGUUAGCUAUGAGCAAUUCAAGCCAAUCCUACCUUGCUGUAAGUUAAUGUUAGCUAAAGUUAUUAAACUCCAUUACUGUAACAUUAGCCCUUAAUAUUAAACAUAUUUUAAAGACAGGCAAAUUGUUUUCCCUCCAAUUUUAAUCUAGCAAAUUAAAAGCUACUAUGUUAGUCAAAGUUAUCCUUUAUGUGCAUUAUUUAGCAACUUGGCUGAUGUGACACAGUUCUUUGCUUUGGCAACUUUAGCCACAUGAAGACCCAGGCUAGCCUAAGGACACAUGGUGGGGGGGGGACAAAGUUGACUAAUGAAGACCUGCUAUGAGUGUGGAGGAUGGUAAUAAGGACCAGCCACCAGAGAAAGAAGUCCCUAUUUGACCAAAGAGAAAGAAGCAGAUGAAAUAUUUCCCAAGAAAAUUGGUGACCACAAUGAAUUGAGUCAUCACCGACUACGAGAAUGUCCAGAAGAGAUUCACCAAGUUUGAAUUCAUGAAAAGGCUUUCACCAUGAUUAACUAUUGCAAGAACAGCUGUAAUUUCUGAGGAUUUCUGGACACCUUAAAAGAGCUGCUUCCAGGAAAUGAAGACAAGAGGAAGAUCUCAUGUUUUCAGAGCAUUACAGGAAGACUAUUACGAAGGAGAUGGCUGACAUAAUAAAAGCAAAAAACAUUA